AUAAGGUAAUAGUUUACAGGUGCCAUUGGAGAAUCAAUGGAGAAUAGGGAAUCGGGUGUAAAUCCCGGACGGACCCACCACUGUAAGGAGGAGCCACCGGCAAAACCACUGGGAGACUGGGAAGGUGCCGGGGGUGAGGAAUCUGAGUCAGGAGACCUGCCUGUAGACUUAUGACAUG
Molecule: non-coding RNA, 178 nt
Filed under: Gracilibacter sp.
Lineage: Bacteria; Bacillati; Bacillota; Clostridia; Eubacteriales; Gracilibacteraceae
Source: RNAcentral